Molecule: ribosomal RNA, 464 nt
Filed under: uncultured bacterium
Lineage: Bacteria
Description: partial 16S ribosomal RNA
Rfam family: Bacterial small subunit ribosomal RNA
Source: RNAcentral
CCUACGGGAGGCAGCAGUGGGGAAUUUUGGACAAUGGGGGAAACCCUGACGCAGCGACGCCCCGUGAGUGAUGAAGGCCUUCGGGUCGUAAAGCUCUGUCAGAUGGGAAGAAGGCAAUUAAAUGUAUAAUUUAAUUGCUUGACGGUACCAUCAGAGGAAGCAUCGGCUAACUCCGUGCCAGCAGCCGCGGUAAGACGGAGGAUGCAAGCGUUGUUCGGAAUUACUGGGCGUAAAGGGCGUGUAGGUGGCUUAAUAAGUCGGAGGUGAAAGCCCUUGGCUCAACCAAGGAAGUGCAUUCGAAACUAUUAGGCUUGAGUACAGGAGAGAAAGGUGAAAUUCCCGGUGUAGAGGUGAAAUUCGUAGAUAUCGGGAGGAAUACCAGUGGCGAAGGCGGCCUUUUGGCCUGUUACUGACACUGAGGCGCGAAAGCGUGGGGAGCAAACAGGAUUAGAUCCCCGGGUAGU